UACUCGAGUGGCGAACGGGUGAGUAACACGUGGGUGAUCUGCCCUGCACUUCGGGAUAAGCCUGGGAAACUGGGUCUAAUACCGGAUAGGACCACAUUUUGGAUGGUGUGGUGGAAAGUUUUUCGGUGUGGGAUGAGCUCGCGGCCUAUCAGCUUGUUGUGGGGUAAUGGCCUACCAAGGCGUCGACGGGUAGCCGGCCUGAGAGGGUGUACGGCCACAUUGGGACUGAGAUACGGCCCAG
This 241-nucleotide ribosomal RNA is filed under the name uncultured Actinomycetales bacterium. RNAcentral's name for it is "partial 16S ribosomal RNA". It matches the Rfam family "Bacterial small subunit ribosomal RNA", at positions 88 to 334 of the family's 1533-position model. Lineage: Bacteria; Bacillati; Actinomycetota; Actinomycetes; Actinomycetales. The record is from RNAcentral.